AAUUUUUGCUAAUUUGUAGUUAGUGAUUUUUACCCUAAAGCUCUUGGACCCAUUCUUUCUCUGGAUGGAAAAUGCACUGGUUACCUGGAGACUUGAAUAUGCUUCCACCAUGUGAGGACAGGAGGUUUCCUUGGGCUCUGGAUCCCUGGGUUUGUGUCCAGUUGGAAACUAGCCAGCUCUCUGGGAAGCGGGUGUGUUGGCUGUGGGUGGAGGCAUCUAGCUGGAGGUCAAGGGUGGUCCAGAGGCAGUGGGUGGAUUGUCACUUGUGGUGACAAGAAGGGCGGUUGGCCGUUGCUCCCACACAUUCUUGUAAGAAGUAAUCCCAGAGGGGCUUCUCUGCCUUGUGUUGGAGUUAGUCACUGACCUGUGGCUGCCGAGGGUGGGGGGCACGCCCUCCCUGUGAACACCUAGGGCGCGGGCGUCUGCCUGUAGAGGACAGACCUUGCUGGGUCCAGCCCGGGGCAGGAUCAGACUGUCCCUUCGUGGGCUCAGGAAGUGCUGGUGCCUCAGGGUGGUCUGAGACUGGAAAUCCUUCCUGUCCUCUGUGAGGCCAGUCUGGACAACCGUGGGGAGGUUCCUGCGUGUCUUCACUGAGCCUCUGGAGUUUCCUUCCGUCAUUUUUGGAGGAAGUGGGAAGGGUCCUGCCUGUUGCCCUUCUAAGAGCUUGAAACCCAGCCUGUCCCUCCACAGAUGUGGAAACUGAGGCCCAGGCUGCGGCCACAGGCAGCUGGAGCUCUCAGUUGGGUGUGGCUUCUCCUGGACACUUCCUUUGACUUCAGGUCAGGUUCCUGGAAGAGACAGCACCUGCUGACCACCAAGGAAGGUCCUCUUCCCUGCCAGCUGGGCCCCACCCUGCUCCGUGCCCACCUAGCACCCUGCCCCUGCCUUGGCGGAGGAGAUCUCCCCGGUAGAUGGCUUAAUCCAAGAUCCACUGGAUGGGAAGACAGCCCUCUAGGGCUGGGCUUCAGGGUCAGGUUAAUUGAAGAAGUGAUUGGAUAGGGGGUGGGGAGAGGGAGGGGGAAGGCUGGGAUCCUGGGCCUCCCUCCUGCUCCCUCCCUCCUCUGCUCGGAGGAGCCAACUUCAAAAGCCUUGUCCGCCUGCCUCCGCCUGCGUCCAGGGGAGCUCUGUUGGCCGGGCUCGGAACUGGACCUGAAGUGGCAGCCGCACUCCCUACCUGAGGACCCCAGGAUCAUGUCCGAGGUCCCCUGGCGGGAGUGAGGGAG
This 1223-nucleotide long non-coding RNA is filed under the name Bos mutus (wild yak). Its description in RNAcentral is "lncRNA (ENSBMUG00000024640.1)". Lineage: Eukaryota; Metazoa; Chordata; Mammalia; Artiodactyla; Bovidae. The record is from RNAcentral.